Molecule: ribosomal RNA, 492 nt
Filed under: uncultured bacterium
Lineage: Bacteria
Description: partial 16S ribosomal RNA
Rfam family: Bacterial small subunit ribosomal RNA
Source: RNAcentral
AGUGAGCGCUGGCGGUAGGCCUAACACAUGCAAGUCGAACGGCAGCACAGUAAGAGCUUGCUCUUACGGGUGGCGAGUGGCGGACGGGUGAGGAAUACAUCGGAAUCUACUUUUUCGUGGGGGAGAACGUAGGGAAACUUACGCUAAUACCGCAUACGACCUACGGGUGAAAGCAGGGGAUCUUCGGACCCUGCGCGAUUGAAUGAGCCGAUGUCGGAUUAGCUAGUUGGCGGGGUAAAGGCCCACCAAGGCGACGAUCCGUAGCUGGUCUGAGAGGAUGAUCAGCCACACUGGAACUGAGACACGGUCCAGACUCCUACGGGAGGCAGCAGUGGGGAAUAUUGGACAAUGGGCGCAAGCCUGAUCCAGCCAUACCGCGUGGGUGAAGAAGGCCUUCGGGUUGUAAAGCCCUUUUGUUGGGAAAGAAAAGCAGCAGGUUAAUACCCCGCUGUUCUGACGGUACCCAAAGAAUAAGCACCGGCUAACUUCGUG